UCAGCUGCUUGUUCCUUAGAUUUGGGUUUCAAAGACUCGUCGUUUCUAAACCUGUGAAAUCAUGCGUUUGCCUGGGUUUUGGCUCUCACACAGGUGAUAAGGAAAGACACUGCUAGUUUGCCCUGUGCGUACGUCUGGUCCCGCUGCAGAAAUCACGGUACUUGCAUUAUCUGGUGUUGCAUACUCUGCCAACACCCGAGCAGAUCAAUAAAUGAAAUCGUCACCAGUUGGUUGUUUCUCUCUAGCUAACUAUAACCGAAGUAUCUGUAUGGCAUCUUCCCAACCGACGCAAGAUAUGAGAUAAGGACGUGAGGAUGCCCUUUACCUAUUCUGUAUUGACACGGGUUUCGAUUGCAAUUACCUUAGGCAAGGCUACGGCGUAAGGCCCCAAACAACGCUAAGAAAUCUCACUUUCACUCUCCCAUACUAGUAACCCUCCUUUCCAUCUCUGUUCGAGAUGCUGAUUGUUGAAUACGGGAACGUCUGGAACUCCCUACCGUUGCCUUGAUGGAAAUCAUCAUCGUUCUCUUCGCGAAUCAUGACUUCUGUAUCAACUGGCAUAAUUCGCCGUGGAAGAAGUGAGGAAAAAAACCAACGCUUAGCCAAGACGCUCAUGCAUGGAAUUACUGCACGUCUCUCCAUUCAUCGAACACCCACUAAUAAAUAAGUGGAGGUGAUUGGCCAUGGGACAGUUCUGACUAUUCAAGCCCUCACAGCCGACGGCGCAGGGGC
RNAcentral lists this small RNA (732 nucleotides) under Histoplasma ohiense. RNAcentral describes it as "hypothetical lncRNA". Lineage: Eukaryota; Fungi; Ascomycota; Eurotiomycetes; Onygenales; Ajellomycetaceae. The record is from RNAcentral.